RNAcentral lists this ribosomal RNA (33 nucleotides) under Candida albicans. Its description in RNAcentral is "partial 18S ribosomal RNA". Lineage: Eukaryota; Fungi; Ascomycota; Pichiomycetes; Serinales; Debaryomycetaceae. The record is from RNAcentral.
CUUCCGUAGGGGGACCUUGGGGAAGGACCAUUA